CCUACGGGUGGCAGCAGUGAGGAAUAUUGGUCAAUGGACGAGAGUCUGAACCAGCCAAGUAGCGUGAAGGAUGACUGCCCUAUGGGUUGUAAACUUCUUUUAUAAAGGAAUAAAACGAGGCACGUGUGCCUUUUUGCAUGUACUUUAUGAAUAAGGAUCGGCUAACUCCGUGCCAGCAGCCGCGGUAAUACGGAGGAUCCGAGCGUUAUCCGGAUUUAUUGGGUUUAAAGGGAGCGUAGAUGGGUUGUUAAGUCAGUUGUGAAAGGUUGCGGCUCAACCGGAAAAUUGCAAUUGAUACUGGCAGUCUUGAGUACAGUUGAGGUAGGCGGAAUUCGUGGUGUAGCGGUGAAAUGCUUAGAUAUCACGAAGAACCCCGAUUGCGAAGGCAGCUUACUAAACUGUGACUGACAUUGAUGCUCGAAAGUGUGGGUAUCAAACAGGAUUAGAUACCCGGGUAGUC
Molecule: ribosomal RNA, 460 nt
Filed under: uncultured bacterium
Lineage: Bacteria
Description: partial 16S ribosomal RNA
Rfam family: Bacterial small subunit ribosomal RNA
Source: RNAcentral